This 217-nucleotide long non-coding RNA is filed under the name Pan troglodytes (chimpanzee). RNAcentral's name for it is "long non-coding RNA NONPTRT015173". The record is from RNAcentral. Lineage: Eukaryota; Metazoa; Chordata; Mammalia; Primates; Hominidae.
UUCUGUAAAAUAAAAUUAAAAAAAAUAUGCCCCCAAAUGUAGCUACAUUUUUCUGUAUGCUUUUUAUGUUACAUAAUAAUAAUAUCUCAAAAUUAGUGAGAAGAAUUGAAAAUAAUAUUCUGAAUGUUAGUUAAUAAUAUUGCCAAAACUAACAAAUUGUUUUAUUCAUAGUUAUCUUUUUCUAUGUCUGUUUUCACACUUGGAUUAUGAGUUUUUU